RNAcentral lists this long non-coding RNA (742 nucleotides) under Crocodylus porosus (Australian saltwater crocodile). Its description in RNAcentral is "lncRNA (ENSCPRG00005017831.1)". The record is from RNAcentral. Lineage: Eukaryota; Metazoa; Chordata; Crocodylia; Crocodylidae.
AGAGCCAAUGAAGUAGAUUUGUGUCUCCCACAUGACUGUGUUUCCCCUGUCUUUCACAUGGGCAGUAUUUAGUUCAAUUCAGAACUGCAGAUAGUACAGCCUGCUUUGCAGCAAUGGGAUGUCUGAACACAAGUGGCUGACUUCCGAGUGACUUUAUGAAGCACUUUUAUACUUUCCUCCUGCAUUAAACUGGGAUUCUGCAUUCUUGGCACUCCCUCAUCAGACUCUUCUCUGCUGCAGGGAACUGAGUAUUUAGUACAGCUUAGCAUUAUGAAACUGAAUCUGAGCAGAAUUGCAGACCAGCAAAUUAAAAGAGGCUGAAGGCAAUUUGACCAGCAUCUUCUAUGUUCAGUCCACAGAGGUUGAUGAAGCACCAAGUCUCCAAGGUUGAGCUUCAAGAUAAUAUGAUGAUGUUGCAUUCAAGAGGGCUCUUUAGAAAAAGAAGGAAAAGUAUGAACUAUGAACAAGAAGAAAGUGAUGGCACCCUGGAAUUUCUACAGAAUCACUUGCUGAGCUGAUAAAAUCUAUUAACCUGUUUUGGGAUCCACAAAGUCAUUGAAGCUGCACCUGCUAACAUCGGGUCCAAAUUUGGCCUACAAGCUUCUCAGUGUUUCAUAAGUAUAAAUUCUAUGUUCGUUCAUGAAGCAUUAUAAAAGCCUGAUGUCUGAAAAAUAUUAUUAACCUCUUGUAAUAGCUAAGAUAAAAGAAUAAAUCUAGUUGUAUCUACUCUUAACUAUAAUAA